This 460-nucleotide ribosomal RNA is filed under the name uncultured bacterium. RNAcentral describes it as "partial 16S ribosomal RNA". It matches the Rfam family "Bacterial small subunit ribosomal RNA", at positions 338 to 795 of the family's 1533-position model. The record is from RNAcentral.
CCUACGGGAGGCAGCAGUGAGGAAUAUUGGUCAAUGGACGAGAGUCUGAACCAGCCAAGUAGGGUGAAGGAUGACUGCCCUAUGGGUUGUAAACUUCUUUUAUAUGGGAAUAAAAUGUUCCACGUGUGGGAUUUUGUAUGUACCAUAUGAAUAAGGAUCGGCUAACUCCGUGCCAGCAGCCGCGGUAAUACGGAGGAUCCGAGCGUUAUCCGGAUUUAUUGGGUUUAAAGGGAGCGUAGGUGGAUUGUUAAGUCAGUUGUGAAAGUUUGCGGCUCAACCGUAAAAUUGCAGUUGAAACUGGCAGUCUUGAGUACAGUAGAGGUGGGCGGAAUUCGUGGUGUAGCGGUGAAAUGCUUAGAUAUCACGAAGAACUCCGAUUGCGAAGGCAGUUCACUGGACUGCAACUGACACUGAGGCUCGAAAGUGUGGGUAUCAAACAGGAUUAGAUACCCCUGUAGUC